This 517-nucleotide ribosomal RNA is filed under the name uncultured organism. Its description in RNAcentral is "bacterial SSU rRNA". It matches the Rfam family "Bacterial small subunit ribosomal RNA", at positions 399 to 916 of the family's 1533-position model. The record is from RNAcentral.
GCGUGCAGGAUGAAUGNCCUAUGGGUUGUAAACUGCUUUUUUCAGGGAANAAACCCCCCGAUUCAUCGGGGUUUGACGGUACCUGAAGAAUAAGCACCGGCUAACUCUGUGCCAGCAGCCGCGGUAAUACGGAGGGUGCAAGCGUUAUCCGGAUUUACUGGGUUUAAAGGGUGCGCAGGUGGAUUAUUACGUCAGUGGUGAAAGCCCGAAGCUCAACUUCGGAACUGCCAUUGAUACGAAUAGUCUUGAAUACAGUUGAGGUGGGCGGAAUGUGUAGUGUAGCGGUGAAAUGCUUAGAUAUUACACAGAACACCGAUUGCGAAAGCAGCUUGCUAAACUGUUAUUGACGCUCAGGCACGAAAGCGUGGGGAGCAAACAGGAUUAGAUGCCCUGGUAGUCCACGCCCUAAACGAUGUUCACUCGACAUUGGCAAUACACCGUCAGUGUCUAAGCGAAAGCAUUAAGUGAACCACCUGGGAAGUACGUUCGCAAGAAUGAAACUCAAAUGAAUUGACGG